UGCGGAACAAAGAGAAUCCGGGCUCGGGCGAGCGCCGGUCCGAUUGGCCGGGGGGCGGAGCCCGGCGCGGGAAUCUUCGGCGGCGGUCGCCUUGGCAACGAAGACGGGGCUGGGAAAACUGCGGCCUGGGCCUGCGGGCCUGCGUCGGGUGGCGCCCAGCAGCGGUUUUCCCAAGCGGGGUCCCGGGGUCGAGGCUUCGGCUUCGGCCCCGCGCCCUCCUCACACGCUCUCGCGCCCGCUGCAGCCCCCACAACCCAGCCUGGGGUUCAAUCGCAGCCGGCGCUGCCCCGCCCUUGAGUGGGAACGCCCAGAUUCAAGGCCCUUCCGGCAGCCACCAAGAGAGAAGAAGUACUGUAAUUUCAAGCUGAAAAUGUUUUAAAUGGGAGAGUGCAUACGAUACUGGCCACCCAGUGAUGUCUUCUCUUUACAUUUCACGACGUGAGACUCUGCAGAAUCGUUGGCAUUUUUCAGUGACAUAUUUUGAAAUUUAAGAUGGUAAAUAAACUUGUUUUUAACCAUA
Long non-coding RNA from Rattus norvegicus (Norway rat), 520 nucleotides. RefSeq annotates it as eukaryotic translation initiation factor 5B like. NCBI's taxonomy places the organism in Eukaryota, Metazoa, Chordata, Mammalia, Rodentia, Muridae. The record is from RefSeq and is marked validated. The transcript is spliced from 3 exons.